This is an unclassified non-coding RNA of Vombatus ursinus (common wombat), 303 nucleotides long. It matches the Rfam family "Metazoan signal recognition particle RNA". From Rfam's summary of the family: The signal recognition particle (SRP) is a universally conserved ribonucleoprotein. It is involved in the co-translational targeting of proteins to membranes. Lineage: Eukaryota; Metazoa; Chordata; Mammalia; Diprotodontia; Vombatidae. The record is from Ensembl.
GGGUGUGGCGAGGCACACCUGUAGUCCCUGUUCCUGGGGAGGCAGAGGUUGCUGGGUUGAUCACUUGCAUUUGAAAGUUCUGACCUGCAGUAGGGCUAAUGCUGAUCAGGUAUCCACACUAAGAAUGGCACCAAUAUGGUGAGCACCCAGGAGUGAGGAGUCACCAGGCAGAUUAAGGAGUGGUGAACUCUCCAGGUUGGAAAUGGGGCAGGUCAAAACUUUCAUGCCAAUAAGUAAUGAGAUUGACUCUUGAAUGACCAUUGUACUUCCAGCAUGGGUAGGAUAGAGAGAUCCAGUCUUCUU